UACGUAGGAGACGAGCGUUGUCCGGAGUUACUGGGCGUAAAGGGUGCGCAGGCGGUCCGUUUUGUGGGUGGUGAAAUCUCCUGGCUCAACUGGGAGGGGGCCAACCAAACGGGCGGACUUGAGGCGUGGAGAGGGACGUGGAAUUCCGGGUGGAGCGGUGAAAUGCGUAGAGAUCCGGAGGAACACCGACGGCGAAGGCAGCGUCCUGGCCACGACCUGACGCUCAGGCACGAAAGCUGGGGGAGCAAACAGG
This 253-nucleotide non-coding RNA is filed under the name uncultured prokaryote. RNAcentral's name for it is "partial 16S ribosomal RNA". It matches the Rfam family "Bacterial small subunit ribosomal RNA", at positions 524 to 776 of the family's 1533-position model. RNAcentral also lists the same sequence under 1 other name. The record is from RNAcentral.